This 1968-nucleotide ribosomal RNA is filed under the name human gut metagenome. RNAcentral's name for it is "bacterial LSU rRNA". It matches the Rfam family "Bacterial large subunit ribosomal RNA", at positions 3 to 1991 of the family's 2925-position model. The record is from RNAcentral.
UCAAGCUACAAAGGGCGCAUGGUGAAUGCCUUGGCAUCAGGAGCCGAUGAAGGACGUGAUAAGCUGCGAUAAGCUUCGGGUAGGCGCACAUAGCCAGUGAUCCGAAGAUUUCCGAAUGAGGGAACUCACAUGGGAAACCCCAUGUAUCCUGUAGUGAAUAAAUAGCUGCAGGAAGGUAAACCUAGGGAACUGAAACAUCUAAGUACCUAGAGGAAGAGAAAGAAAAAUCGAUUUUCUUAGUAGCGGCGAGCGAAAGGGAAAGAGCCCAAACCAGAGAUUUAUCUCUGGGGUUGCGGACAGAACAUUAAAUAAACUAAUUUGUAACCGAAGACAACUGGAAAGUUGUGCCGUAGAGUGUAAUAGCCACGUAGGUGAAACGAAGAGGUUUAGAGUUCUGAUCCAGAGUACCACGAGACACGUGAAACCUUGUGGGAAGCAGGGAGGACCACCUCCCAAGGCUAAAUACUACCUGAUGACCGAUAGUGAAGCAGUACCGUGAGGGAAAGGUGAAAAGAACCCCGGGAGGGGAGUGAAAUAGAACCUGAAACCGUGUGCCUACAACCGGUCAAAGCCCCUUAUGAGGGUGAUGACGUGCUUUUUGUAGAACGAGCCAACGAGUUACGGUAUGUAGCAAGGUUAAGUACUUAAGGUACGGAGCCUAAGGGAAACCGAGUCUUAAUAGGGCGACUAGUUGCAUGCCGUAGACCCGAAACCGGGUGACCUAUCCAUGGCCAGGUUGAAGCGGGGGUAAAACCCCGUGGAGGACCGAACCACGUUGCUGUUGAAAAAGCAUGGGAUGAGCUGUGGAUAGCGGAGAAAUUCCAAUCGAACUCGGAGAUAGCUGGUUCUCCUCGAAAUAGCUUUAGGGCUAGCGUCGGAUAUGAGUAAUGGAGGUAGAGCACUGAAUGGGCUAGGGGGCGUAUCGCUUACCGAACCUUAUCAAACUCCGAAUGCCAUAUACUAUGAGUCCGGCAGUCAGACUACGAAUGAUAAGAUCCGUGGUCAAAAGGGAAAAAGCCCAGAUCGUCAGCUAAGGUCCCAAAGUGUAAGUUAAGUGGUAAAGGAUGUGGGAUUUCUAAGACAACUAGGAUGUUGGCUUAGAAGCAGCCACUCAUUUAAAGAGUGCGUAAUAGCUCACUAGUCGAGAGAUCCUGCGCCGAAAAUGUCCGGGGCUCAAACUUACCACCGAAGCUACGGGCUCAAGUUUACUUGAGCGGUAGAGGAGCGUCGUAAUCGGGCUGAAGUCGUACCGUAAGGAGCGGUGGACUGAUUACGAGUGAGAAUGUUGGCAUUAGUAGCGAGAUGUAAGUGAGAAUCUUACAGGCCGAAAAUCUAAGGUUUCCUGGGGAAGGCUCGUCCGCCCAGGGUUAGUCGGGACCUAAGCCGAGGCCGAAAGGCGUAGGUGAUGGACAAUUGGUUGAUAUUCCAAUACCACUAUUAUCGUUAUUAUCGAUGGUGUGACGGAGAAGGAUAGGAUGUGCUAGCGAUUGGAAAUGCUAGUCUAAGCAUUUAGGGAGUUAAAGUAGGCAAAUCCGCUUUAACAAUUCUGAGGUGUGAUGGGGAAGGUCAUUUUGACUGAAGUAUCUGAUUCCAUGCUUCCAAGAAAAGCAUCUAGAGAGAGAAGUAGUGCCCGUACCGCAAACCGACACAGGUAGAUGAGGAGAGAAUCCUAAGGCCAUCGGAAGAAUUGCAGUUAAGGAACUAGGCAAAUUGACCCCGUAAGUUCGCGAGAAGGGGUGCCUGUGAGAGCAGGCCGCAGAGAAUAGGCCCAAGCAACUGUUUAGCAAAAACACAGGUCUCUGCUAAAGCGUAAGCUGAUGUAUAGGGGCUGACGCCUGCCCGGUGCUGGAAGGUUAAGGGGAACACUUAGCGCAAGCGAAGGUGUGAACUUAAGCCCCAGUAAACGGCGGCCGUAACUAUAACGGUCCUAAGGUAGCGAAAUUCCUUGUCAGGUAAGUUCUGACCCGC